GCUUGGCUGGGGGCUCUGGGAGGGAGCAGAGGGAAGGGAGGCUCAGCGAUGGGGCUGAUGGGGCCUGGACAUUGGUGGGGAGAUGAAGUAUGAGGGCAGUGAAGAGGCCUGGGGCACGUGGGAGCUUUAGAGGGGCAGGUGUGGGAGAGUAGGGUGGUUUGGGGGCAGGUUGGCUGGGGUAAGGCUGAGUGGAGCCGCCUCUCCAGUCAGGAGCAGCUCAGCUACCGGCAGUGACGAUCCCAGGGGGUGGUAGGUGCUAACUCUGGUGCAACUGCCCUCACCAAAUGGGUACAUUUCAGCCUGCCCUUGGCCAAACUGUGUCUGGUUUAUGAUCACAAAAGGAAAAAAAAAAAAAAUCUCAUGGACUGAGCACAUGGCCUCCCAAGCUGUAGUCUUGGCUCUCAGUCUUGGUGUUGAACUUGAUUACAGCUGGAGGAAUUCUAAACAGUCCACUUCUCCUUGUCUUGGUGUUUGAGCGCAUUGUGCUCCUGUCUGAACAGAGGAAAUCACUGAGGUCAGUCUCCCUUGUGUUUACAGUUGCUUUCCCUUUCAGAAGUAUGGGGGCAAGGAAUCAUCAAAAUAACAAUUCGUACUGACAUCCUGAUAAUAAAUGAAUAGAAACAGUUACAUAAGACACAAACUUUGUCAAAGGUGUGUUUGUAGGGAUGGCUUCUACUUUUGAAUUCAGGCUUAAACUGAAGGGACAGUGCACUCGGUUAUAAAGUACCCUGCAAAUAUUCAGUUUUGAAGUGUCCCCAGUAUGAAAUAAUCCAAUUAAUCUAGUAUUACUGAUCCUGCUGAAAUAAAACAAGCGAAACAAACUUCCUUCCUAUUUUCCCAUAAUCUAAUAGGUAUUUUGUAUCAUAAGGCUUUGUAUCCAGCAGGCCUUUGAGGGUGAUGCUGGAUACUAUGUAUGUAAACUUGGCAUUUACCUUUAGACAAGCAGAGCUACUGGGGACUAUUCAACCUGGGAUGGGGGAAAGUUGAGACCAGAGAUUGGCUGAAACAACUGUGGACCACACCUAGAGUUUUGUGAACUUGGCACAUAGUGGUCUGACACUUUGCCUUUUCAAAUCCCAAUAGGAAAAGUAAGACAGAUGUGGAUCACUUCAAACACAUGUAGUUUAGGUAUGGGGAGAAGCAAACUAAAGGUUUAUCUGAUUAUCUCAACCUCGAAGUUGGCAGCUAUGACAGGAAACUUGGAUUCAUUCAUCUGCCAAAGAUAUUUGUAGUGUAUCAUUUGACAAGUUAAAAGGCAUUUUUGUAAUGACAGAAAAAUAAAACCAUUCACUUUCUGAAAA
Molecule: long non-coding RNA, 1301 nt
Organism: Pipra filicauda (Wire-tailed manakin)
Lineage: Eukaryota; Metazoa; Chordata; Aves; Passeriformes; Pipridae
Exons: 2
Source: RefSeq, a predicted model, not a curated record